Long non-coding RNA from Raphanus sativus (radish), 318 nucleotides. RefSeq lists it as uncharacterized. The transcript is spliced from 3 exons. Lineage: Eukaryota; Viridiplantae; Streptophyta; Magnoliopsida; Brassicales; Brassicaceae. The record is from RefSeq and is a predicted model, not a curated record.
AAUUGUUCGAUUUCAUCGGCCUCAUCAAAGAUGAUGCAUAGAAGGUGUCCAGUUCAUGUUCGAUUUGUGUUUCAGGAUAAUAUAAAAAUGGUUGCAUUCUGGCUGACGACAUGGGUUCGGGGAUGACAUUGCAGUCCAUUACUGUACUAUACACACUUCUAUGUCAAGGAUUUGAUGGGACCUCCUACGGUUAAAAAGGCCACCAACGACAAAAUGGGAAGCUGGAAUUAAGAAAUGGGUUUGGAGACAAACAUGACUCAACUUAUAUUCCCUCUGUGAGAUGAUGUUUUGUCUGGAAUAUAGAUAGUUUCACGCGAC